UGGGAGCUUGCUCCCGGNGUNUGUCAGGCGGCAGGGUGAGUAACACGUGGGUAACCUGCCUGUAAGACUGGGAUAACUCCGGGAAACCGGGGCUAAUACCGGAUGGUUGUUUGAACCGCAUGGUUCAAACAUAAAAGGUGGCUUCGGCUACCACUUACAGAUGGACCCGCGGCGCAUUAGCUAGUUGGUGAGGUAACGGCUCACCAAGGCAACGAUGCGUAGCCGACCUGAGAGGGUGAUCGGCCACACUGGGACUGAGACACGGCCCAGACUCCUACGGGAGGCAGCAGUAGGGAAUCUUCCGCAAUGGACGAAAGUCUGACGGAGCAACGCCGCGUGAGUGAUGAAGGUUUUCGGAUCGUAAAGCUCUGUUGUUAGGGAAGAACAAGUACCGUUCGAAUAGGGCGGUACCUUGACGGUACCUAACCAGAAAGCCACGGCUAACUACGUGCCAGCAGCCGCGGUAAUACGUAGGUGGCAAGCGUUGUCCGGAAUUAUUGGGCGUAAAGGGCUCGCAGGCGGUUUCUUAAGUCUGAUGUGAAAGCCCCCGGCUCAACCGGGGAGGGUCAUUGGAAACUGGGGAACUUGAGUGCAGAAGAGGAGAGUGGAAUCCCACGUGUACGGUGAAUUGCGUAAGAUGUGGAAGGAACCACCAGUGGCCGAAGGCAACUCUCUGUUCUGUAACCUGACCCUGAGGACGAAGCGUGGGGAGCGACAAGGAAUUAAUCCCCUGUUUCACCCAACAAAUAAUUNCUAAUUGUUUGGGGGGGGUUUCCCCCCCCCUUUUUUUCUUCUAACCCCAUAUACCCNCCCCGGGGAGUCGGGUCCAAAAAAUAAACUCAAGGAAAUUAGGGGGGCCCCCACAGGNGGUAACAUUUUUNUUUAAUAUAUCANNAACAACAUCACCUUCUAUAUCCUUANACAAAAAAAUACCCUNGGGAAGGAGUGCUGUGUUCCUCCUNUAAAUGUACNCAACCCUA
RNAcentral lists this ribosomal RNA (980 nucleotides) under bacterium NTN03. RNAcentral describes it as "partial 16S ribosomal RNA". It matches the Rfam family "Bacterial small subunit ribosomal RNA". The record is from RNAcentral.